RNAcentral lists this ribosomal RNA (159 nucleotides) under Acacia microcarpa. RNAcentral's name for it is "5.8S ribosomal RNA". It matches the Rfam family "5.8S ribosomal RNA". From Rfam's summary of the family: 5.8S ribosomal RNA (5.8S rRNA) is a component of the large subunit of the eukaryotic ribosome. The record is from RNAcentral. Lineage: Eukaryota; Viridiplantae; Streptophyta; Magnoliopsida; Fabales; Fabaceae.
CGACUCUCGGCAACGGAUAUCUCGGCUCUCGCAUCGAUGAAGAACGUAGCGAAAUGCGAUACUUGGUGUGAAUUGCAGAAUCCCGUGAACCAUCGAGUCUUUGAACGCAAGUUGCGCCCGAAGCCGUCAGGCUGAGGGCACGCCUGCCUGGGUGUCACG